RNAcentral lists this ribosomal RNA (250 nucleotides) under Thrinax contigua. Its description in RNAcentral is "partial 16S ribosomal RNA". Lineage: Eukaryota; Metazoa; Arthropoda; Insecta; Hymenoptera; Tenthredinidae. The record is from RNAcentral.
CUGUCUCUAAUUAAUUAUUAAUUUAAUUUAAUUUUUAAGUUAAAAAGCUUAAAUUUUUUUAAAGGACGAGAAGACCCUAUAGAGUUUUACAAUUUGAAUUAAAAUUAUUUUUAAUUUAUAUAUUAAUUUUAAUUCAAAUUGUUUUAUUGGGGCGAUAAUAAAAUUAAUUAAACUUUUAUAAUUUUUAAAACAUUAAUUUAUGAAAUUUUGAUCCUAUAAUUUAGAUUAUUAGAAUAAAUUACCUUAGGGA